This 138-nucleotide small nucleolar RNA is filed under the name Ornithorhynchus anatinus (platypus). Lineage: Eukaryota; Metazoa; Chordata; Mammalia; Monotremata; Ornithorhynchidae. The record is from RNAcentral.
GACCUCUCAGGGUUGCAUCUGGAGAGUUUACAGUAUUCUACCAGUCAUGACUACAGGAGGGAGAGUCAAGCAGAGGCCUACCCAUUCCAUUCCUAGCUUGGACAGUGGCUAAUGUGUGGUGGGUAAUCUGCUACAAAU